Molecule: transfer RNA, 58 nt
Filed under: Dixonius aaronbaueri
Lineage: Eukaryota; Metazoa; Chordata; Lepidosauria; Squamata; Gekkonidae
Description: tRNA-Cys
Source: RNAcentral
AAGCCCCGGCACCUUUCUGGGUGCUUCAUCAGAUUUGCACUCUGCUUCUUGCGGGACU